UACGAAGGGGGCUAGCGUUGUUCGGAUUUACUGGGCGUAAAGCGCACGUAGGCGGAUCUUUAAGUCAGAGGUGAAAUCCCAAGGCUCAACCUUGGAACUGCCUUUGAUACUGGGGAUCUCGAGUCCGGGAGAGGUGAGUGGAACUGCGAGUGUAGAGGUGAAAUUCGUAGAUAUUCGCAAGAACACCAGUGGCGAAGGCGGCUCACUGGCCCGGAACUGACGCUGAGGUGCGAAAGCGUGGGGAGCAAACAGG
Molecule: ribosomal RNA, 253 nt
Filed under: uncultured bacterium
Lineage: Bacteria
Description: partial 16S ribosomal RNA
Rfam family: Bacterial small subunit ribosomal RNA
Source: RNAcentral